GGCCGUUUGGCGAUGUGGUUAGCGUGUGUGACUCUUACCAAGAAGUUUGGGGUUCAAUUCCCCGCCUGGGCC
Gymnothorax javanicus (giant moray) is the source of this 72-nucleotide non-coding RNA. Lineage: Eukaryota; Metazoa; Chordata; Actinopteri; Anguilliformes; Muraenidae. The record is from the annotation of a GenBank genome assembly.